Molecule: long non-coding RNA, 1494 nt
Filed under: Piliocolobus tephrosceles (Ugandan red Colobus)
Lineage: Eukaryota; Metazoa; Chordata; Mammalia; Primates; Cercopithecidae
Description: lncRNA (ENSPTEG00000016622.1)
Source: RNAcentral
UUCAGUGAGAAGUCUGAGUGGGAAUGUCAGCCCCAGAAAACCUGUCCUCCUCUGCCUGCUGCCCUCCAUAAGUCAGAUUAAGGCAAAAGUACCACUCUUCUGGGGGGAUUUUCAUUUAAAUGGGGUAGGGCCCAGAAGGUUUUCACACCCUAACUGGCAGGGGAGAUUGAGGGAGACAUUUUGUUGUAGCGGUCCAGCCUGUGCCCCUUCAAGGGGAUAAAUAUGAGGGACCACCUCAUCAUAUAAUCAGAGGCAUCUUUUUGCCUAGAAGGGUUGGUAUGAAUCACUAAGCUCUGAAUUUUCUGUCAGAGAAUGACUUAGGCUGUUGAAAGUUACACAUUAGAAGGUUUUUUUCCCCCUUCCAAUUACGAAUGGCAUAAGUGAAAAUUACUCAAGUUGACUCAAGGACUAGAUUGUUUUAUUCAAAGGAGUUGAGUUUUGUUUUCAUUCAGUGACUGAUUUCGAGCUUCAUAGCCCUUAAGGGGGAAGACAAAAAGGCUUUAAUGCCAUACAUUUUGCAAGGGAAGACUUCAAAGUGGUGAAGUGUGUGAACAGUUCACCCAAGCAUGGAACAUGGAGAGCAGACUUCUCACGACCAGAUGAUUUCUCAUCGCCAAUUACCCACCAGUUAGAUUAACCCUUUAGCCAAUUAAUUCUCCCUAGAAUAAAAAUAUUUCAGUGUGAGAAGCGUCAUCCCCAAAUGCUCACUUUUCUUGUUUCAUUCCAGUUGCCUAGUUCCUUCUCAAGGGAUAGACUCAUCCCUUAGCUGCUGAGACCGGUUUGAGUCAAAAAGCCCAUCUCCAAGACCGCCUAUGGUUAUAUGGAAGAGGACUUUUCCACGUCUAUUUUCAACACUGGUGGAGUUGAUGGUCUGGAGAAGUGUAACUCCAGGAUAACCUGCAUCAGAAUCCCUGGGGCCAUGGGUAAGAUUUAGCGUCUCAGUCCAUGGAGCGGGUCUUUGGAUGAGACCCUGAAAUCUGCAUCUUACCCAGGAACCCCUGUCUGAGUGUUCUGAAGGAACUUUCAAGGAUCUGUUUAAAAUUUUAAGGUACAAUUUGCAUAGAGCUAAGUACACAAAUCUUAAGUGUAUUAUAGCUAGAAUUUUUAUAUAAGGAUGCACAUUUUAACCUAAUUACACUUUUGCGGAAUAACCAUUCAAAUCAAGAUAGGGAAGAAAAAUUUCCCCCUAAGUCUUCCCAGAGGUACAUACUAUUCUGACUGUCACCGUGGGCUAGUUUUGGUUGUUCUUGAACUUCAUAGAUCCUACAGCACAUACUCUUUUGCAUCUGUUUCCUUUUACUUAUACUAUGUUUUUGCAAUUUGUCCAUGUUGUAUGUGUAGCAGUAGGUAGUUCCUUUUUAUUGCUGGUAAAAUUGCAUUGUAUGAAUAUAUCCCCAUUUACUUAUAUAUUGUCUUGUUGAAGUUCAUUUCAAUUGUUUCCAGUUUGUGGUUAUUAUGAAUAAAGCUGCUGCGAGCAUUCUUGUAAUAGUCUUU